Molecule: ribosomal RNA, 253 nt
Filed under: uncultured bacterium
Lineage: Bacteria
Description: partial 16S ribosomal RNA
Rfam family: Bacterial small subunit ribosomal RNA
Source: RNAcentral
UACAGAGGGGGCUAGCGUUGUUCGGAAUUACUGGGCGUAAAGCGCACGUAGGCGGCGAUCUAAGUCAGAGGUGAAAGCCCGGGGCUCAACCCCGGAAUAGCCUUUGAGACUGGAUUGCUAGAAUCCGGGAGGGGUGAGUGGAAUUCCGAGUGUAGAGGUGAAAUUCGUAGAUAUUCGGAAGAACACCAGUGGCGAAGGCGGCUCACUGGACCGGCAUUGACGCUGAGGUGCGAAAGCGUGGGGAUCAAACAGG